GGGAAUGUGGCUUAGUGGUAGAGUGCUUGUCUUUCAUGCAUUAAGCCCUAGGUUCGAUUCCUCAGUACUA
This 70-nucleotide transfer RNA is filed under the name Dipodomys ordii (Ord's kangaroo rat). It matches the Rfam family "tRNA". Rfam says of the family: Transfer RNA (tRNA) molecules are approximately 80 nucleotides in length. Their secondary structure includes four short double-helical elements and three loops (D, anti-codon, and T loops). Lineage: Eukaryota; Metazoa; Chordata; Mammalia; Rodentia; Heteromyidae. The record is from Rfam by way of RNAcentral.